GUAGGUGAACCUGCGGAAGGAUCAUUAACACGUAUCCAAACGUUAAAACCCCCCUGUGAACCUUCAACACCAAUGCAUCCUGCACACGUUCACGUUAGGGGCCUCCCUUCAGAGGUGCGGUCGAGCGGUUUAGCAUUAGAUACGUCCCGGCGCUCCCAAGUGGCUCCAUUGAUCUGAAAGUGUUCAUUCGGGUUGCGUAAGAGUUGGCGCAGUAAACGAUCGUUGGGCCCACACGGCCCAGCGUCCGGGGCCUCUCCGCGGUUACAAUCGGCGGCAAGGGAUACACACGGAGCUUAUCUCAAUGACGAGAGAGACGGCCGGCGCCGAAAGGUUGUAGGCAUUUAAAAAACGAACAACUGUUAACAAUGGAUAUCUUGGUUCUC
Molecule: unclassified non-coding RNA, 383 nt
Filed under: rhizosphere metagenome
Description: partial ribosomal RNA internal transcribed spacer region
Source: RNAcentral